Non-coding RNA from Prunus avium (sweet cherry), 280 nucleotides. The record is from RefSeq and is a predicted model, not a curated record. NCBI's taxonomy places the organism in Eukaryota, Viridiplantae, Streptophyta, Magnoliopsida, Rosales, Rosaceae.
GCAGCUUCGAGGUUUUGAGUUGUUAAAAGCAGUUCACUUGGAACCAAAUCCCUUUGACAUGGAGAGGGAUCUUAUAACUCCAACAUUCAAACUGAAGAGACCACACCUACUUAAAUAUUACAAGGACCGUAUUGAUAAACUGUACAGUGAAGCAAAGGAAGCAAGGGUAUGACAGCAAUGUCGAAAGCCGGAAGCUACUGGAGAAAACCUUUUUACCACAAUUUCCCAAAGAUGUGAUUGCUGAUAGUGGGCAGGUGCUACCCACAAAGACUCUGGAUUC